RNAcentral lists this ribosomal RNA (484 nucleotides) under uncultured bacterium. Its description in RNAcentral is "partial 16S ribosomal RNA". It matches the Rfam family "Bacterial small subunit ribosomal RNA", at positions 30 to 507 of the family's 1533-position model. The record is from RNAcentral.
AUUGAACGCUGGCGGCAGGCCUAACACAUGCAAGUCGAGCGGAUGAAGGGAGCUUGCUCCUGGAUUCAGCGGCGGACGGGUGAGUAAUGCCUAGGAAUCUGCCUGGUAGUGGGGGAUAACGUCCGGAAACGGGCGCUAAUACCGCAUACGUCCUGCGGGAGAAAGUGGGGGAUCUUCGGACCUCACGCUAUCAGAUGAGCCUAGGUCGGAUUAGCUAGUUGGUGGGGUAAAGGCCUACCAAGGCGACGAUCCGUAACUGGUCUGAGAGGAUGAUCAGUCACAUUAGAACGGAGACACGGACAAGAGUACUACGGGACGCAGCAGAGGGGAAUAGUGGACAAUGGGCGAAAACCUUACCCAGCCAGGGCGCGUGUGAGAAGAAAGUCCUCGGAUUGGAAAGCAGUUUAAGUUGGGAGAAAGGGCAGUAAGUUAAUACCUUGCUGUUGUGACGUUAACAACAGAAUAAGCACCGGCUAACUUCGUG